GAAAGAGAGAGAGAGAGAGAGAGUCAUCACAUCUCCGUCAGCUAAAAACCAAGGAAUCAUAUUCUUUAUGGUUCCUUUCUUGAUUAAUAUAUUAGAUAUUCCUGGGGACUGAGCAUUGGUUUUUCUGUGAGAUUUCUAGAGAAUUCAAGCUCAAGGGUCUGUUGGGUUUCAUCAGAAAACAUGAAGUUCUGCAAGAAAUACCAGGAGUACAUGCAAGGCCAACAGAAAGAACUCCCUGGGGUUGGAUUAAAGAAGCUUAAAAAGAUUUUGAAGAAAUGUAGGAGAGACUUUGAAUCCCAUCAAGAACUUGAUGGGGCUCCUCCUGCUGCCGAUCACUGUCCUCAUCAAUGUCCAGUGUGCGAUGGAACCUUCUUCUCUUCCCUUCUCAAAGAAAUGUCUGCAGUAGUUGGUUGCUUUAGUGAACGAGCACAGAAAUUGCUUGAGCUGCACCUGGCUUCUGGCUUUCAAAAAUACUUUAUUUGGUUCAAAGGCAAGUUGCAAGGAAAUCAUGUUGCCUUGAUGCAAGAAGGCAAGGAUCUGGUUACGUAUGCACUUAUAAAUGCCAUAGCAGUCCGAAAAAUCCUAAAGAAAUAUGAUAAGAUUCAUUACUCCAACCAAGGACAGGCCUUCAGGUCACAAGCCCAAAGUAUGCACAUUGAGAUUCUUCAGUCUCCAUGGCUCUGUGAGCUUAUGGCUCUCCACAUCAAUUUAAGGAAAACAAAGAUCAAUUCAAAGAAUAAGGUCCCUGCCUUGUUUGAGGGGUGCUCACUAACAUUUGAUGAUGAUGACAAACCAUCACUUUCUUGUGAGCUCUUUGAUUCCAUCAAGCUUGAUAUUGAUUUGACUUGUUCAAUAUGCUUGGUAAGCUCCUAGAUUUCAUUUUGCUAAGAUUUGUAUUCUUUACAUACAUGCACUUAUUAAUUGUAUAAAAUUUAUGUGCUGCCCACAUUCCAUUGAAGCACAUGAAAGAAAUGUUAUAAAGGUCUGUUACAAUGAUGUCCAUGGUGAAAACUGGAGGAAUUUGUUGAGUUUUGUGUUGAUAAUUCCUUUAUGAAAAAUCAUGGGCUACAUACAGUAUUUUUUCUGGUGAGUAUCUCCCUGCUCCAUUUAGAUUGAUCUUUCUUUUAAGAUGACUUCUCAGUCCCUAGUGAAUAAGAACAAUAUCCAAUUUGCAGCCAGACAUACCAGAUCCAGCAUCAGCUUUCUUCUUUUGGUAGAGUAGAAGAAUAAUUUCAGGAUUAGAAGGCAUACAUUCUGGCUUUGUUAUUAUGGUGCUCUCAUAGGUCCCAUUAGUGAUUAAUUCAUGUAAAUUUCUUUUGAUGACAGGAGACAGUAUUUGAUCCAGUUUCUCUUGCAUGUGGCCAUAUAUUCUGCUAUAUGUGUGCUUGCUCUGCUGCUUCAGUGACUAUUGUUGAUGGCCUAAAAGCUGCAGAACCUAAAGAAAAAUGCCCUUUAUGCCGGGAGGUUUGCUCGCAUUUUAUUUGUAUUUUUGCUCUUAAAAAAUAUACUAUGAAUUACUAAAUCUCUGGCAAACAAGGUUGCCAUCUUGUGUCUUGAGAGAGCUAGAUUAUCCUUGUGAAAUUACGAUUAAGAUGUAGAAAAUAGAUAGUGAUGCUAGAAGACAGGGUCUGGAUUCUGAACUUAAUUUGAGUCUAAGCAUUUCGUCAAUCCAUUUUACAUGGAUUCCCUGAAAUUUGAACGAUUUAUUCUCUAACUUUUUAAAAUUGAAAGGUGAUUUCAUUCCAAGAAGGAAAGGAAGAAUAUCAUGAAUAUCCAACCCUUUCUUCACUUGUAAUAAUUCAUUUCCAUUGUGAUCACAGACUGGAGUUUAUGAAGGUGCUGUACACUUGGAAGAGCUUAAUAUUUUAUUGAGACAAAGGUAUGUACUUUAAAAAAAAAAAAAAGAAUUAAAUUCUAGGGAGCAUGAUGUAGCUAAGUCACUUAAAUUUUCGUGGAGGAAGGACGCUUCUAUUACUAGUGUGAUUCUUCUCAUAUGCAUGUUUGAACAGUUGCCGCGAAUAUUGGGAGCAGCGGCUGCAAUCAGAAAGGGUGGAGAGGAUUCGUCAGGCAAAGCAGCACUGGGAAUACCAGUGUCGGGUAUUCAUGGGUGUCUAGAGUAGAUAGUUGGUCUUGGCACUAGAUUUACAUUUGAUAACUUAUUUCUUAUCUUCUCAUCAAUAAAAUUAAUUGGACUCUUCUCUCUGAAUUAGUGUGAAUAUGUGCUCUUUUGCACGUUGCUUGACUUGGCCAAACUUUUGUAUAAAUGUUUUCUCGCUUGGAGAAAUGGAAUGUGUUGUUCUGCUGUAAAUAACCAGAUGUUGGUUGCAUUGUUCUCUGCCUUCGCCUGUGUAUCUACGGC
Molecule: unclassified non-coding RNA, 2359 nt
Filed under: Hevea brasiliensis (rubber tree)
Lineage: Eukaryota; Viridiplantae; Streptophyta; Magnoliopsida; Malpighiales; Euphorbiaceae
Source: RNAcentral